Molecule: long non-coding RNA, 1001 nt
Filed under: Bos mutus (wild yak)
Lineage: Eukaryota; Metazoa; Chordata; Mammalia; Artiodactyla; Bovidae
Description: lncRNA (ENSBMUG00000020839.1)
Source: RNAcentral
AUGUUGUACCAACAGUGGAGACCUAACUACUGCCGAAGUAGGAGGCUGAGAUUGCAAAGCCCUGGGGGCAGGGCCCUGCCUUUGCACUUCCCAUUCAAUUCCAGGGGCUUUGGUGUUCAACCAAGGAAAUCCUCAGGUUCCGGAUGGGUCAGGACGGGGGUCCAAGUCGCGGUCCGAGGGAGGGGAGAUGCGACUGUCAGCGCCGUUCCCGAGCCUGCUGGACCGGAGCCCGUCACGUCCCCCGCCCUUGGGAAUCGAGUGUCACCUGCGCUUUCCCAUGGCUGCCAGGAGAUAUCUAGACAGAUUUUCCCAACGUGCUGUGAAAACUAGUUCGCGCAAAAGACCCAGGCCUCCUGAAAUCGCGCUGACUGCCUGCUAUGCUAGACCUUUCGUCCAAAGAUCCAGGGGACUGCUCAUUGAAAAAGUAUUUACUGAGGCCUGCCACAAACUCGCCUUAUGGAGGAGCUAACAGCCUAGUUAGCUAUAUUGUAGAGGUUUUGUUUUCUUGUUUUCUACAAACCAUCCACCUUCUCCGCAUUUUGGUGGUAUGAGUCUUAUUUUUUAUAUUUUCUUUUGAAAAGAUGCACUCCCAGGUUACAGUUUAAAAAGAUAAGUCUGUUCUUUGCAUGACUUAACAUCCUGUUUUUAGUUUGGAAUACAGCGCUCUGCAUCCUAGUUCCUGAUCACGUUUUAAGAUUGUGAACAUUCUUACAGAAAACAAACCUAUGGUUACUAAAGGGCAAACGUGGGGGUGGGGGCGGCAGGGAAAAAUCAGGAGCUUGGGAUGAAUAUACACACAUUACUGUAAGACAGAUAAGCAACAAGGGACCUCCUGUAUAGCACAGAGACUCUACUCAAUAUUCUGUGAUAACUAUAAGAGAAAAGAAUUGGAAAAAGAAUGAAUAUAUGUAUAUGUAUAACUAAAUUGCAUUGCUGUACCCCUGAAACUAACACAAUAUUGUAAAUCAACUAUACUCCAAUAAAAUUUUUUAAAAGUCCCA